UGAAUCCAUUCAAGGCGCAAGCAAGGUUUCCAGCUCUCCUGGACAUUGUCGUUUGGCUGCAUUGCCAGGUCCUGUUUUAAAUUUGAAGGUCAAAUAGUUAACUUAUGAUAAAUGAUAUUAUAUUGAGAUUUGAGCCAAGGCAGAGAGUGUGGGAAAGCCUAAGAGAAAACCAUUAGGGCUCCAAAUGUGCUGAUCGGGAAGGAGUCUGCCCUGAAGAAGUGGAGAUUCUUGCAAUGAGUGCUCACGAGGAAGCCAGAGGGGUCUCGCUGGCUGAACCCAGCUCAGAGCCCCAUAAUAACCCCAUUGUUUACAAACAAACCUGUUUUUACAAACUUGUCCUCCGAAAUUCCAGAUUUGCCUUUUAAACCACCCCCCCUUCCUUUUGUAGUCGGGUAGAACUGUUACAGACCGCAGGCUGGCUGAGAUCUGAGAAGCCCUGAUCUCUAGUGUUGCUGUUCCUCUCUGAGCCUGGUGUCGCAGCCGCCCUGGACGUGAGCGAGCCUGCAGUGAGCGAGCCUGCUUCUCCUUCACCCCGUCCUCGGCUCUAACAGUGCCAGCACGCUGUGGCCGUCCUUGCUGUUUGUCUUCUUUGCUUUGAGUUUGAAGCUUGCAGGCUCAUGAAGAACCACCGUUUAUGCUACAGACAACGAUGAGCAACUUUGAGCGGAUUCCACUGCAACCUUGAGUCAUGCAUCUCUGUUCUCGUGAUCAGACUCCUUGCGUGGGUCAGGAAGAUGUACCCACCCUCUCUUCUUGAACUGAUAGGAUUUAGUAAAUAGGAAUGACAGAGCUACUUUAUAUUCGUGCAUACAUUGUCUUCACCUCAAAAACCAUCCUGUGAACCACUGACCACGAUUUCCAGCCCUUUAUGGGAAACCCCAAGGCUUGGUGGUGCUCAGAUCUUGAAAGGGAGGAAAGGUGAACGCAGAACUGGGCUUUCAGAACGUAUCUGCUCUGUGAAAUGCAGACAGCGUGUCUCCAGUCAUAGCAGUUCCAGGCCAGCUCCAUCCAGCCACCAGAGGGGAGAUUCUCCAGGUCAAGGUCAGCAGGUGUCCCGCCCCAGACCUCCACUGGACUUUCUGCUUUCUGGGACGGAUCUGGCACCAGUGCCAUAAGUUGCCUUCCCGGGAAAGGGACUCCCCCCAGAGACUCCGACAUGGACGUCAGCAGCAUGCAGUAAAGAUGCUGUAAGGGGGCGAGGGAGCAGGACAGAGCAAGAGGGAGGAGGAGCCGCAGACAACUGGCAGUGCCCCCGAAGGGGGUUCUGGGGGAGUUCCCUGAAGCAGGGCGCUGCUUGUUGGGCAGCACAAGCAGCAGAAGCCCGAUGAAUCGUCCCUGGGAGGUAUUGGCUUUUCACCUUCAUGAGAGGCGCGCUUGCUGUUUUCUCAUUUAUUUUCUUUUUCAUAGAAAUGUAUUAAUAUAUUAGCGUCUCCAGGUCACAGCAAAUGCAUGAUAAUUACUCCACACAGUUCUCUUCAAUCCUCAUGGCAAUGUGAUGUUAAUACAAAGAGAGCAGAUCCAAUGUUGUUUGUAGAUGCAAGUCUAAGAAUGUAGCACCUGCCUCCCCCCCCACCCCUCCCGCUCCCUUUC
RNAcentral lists this long non-coding RNA (1590 nucleotides) under Oryctolagus cuniculus (rabbit). RNAcentral describes it as "lncRNA (ENSOCUG00000035804.1)". Lineage: Eukaryota; Metazoa; Chordata; Mammalia; Lagomorpha; Leporidae. The record is from RNAcentral.